GACCUCAACAGCUCUUAUGGUAACAACAGCAUCUUCGCUCCUGUGAACCUGCCUCAGUCGAAGACUUUCUUCAGCUCCUGGGGGAGCUUCCCUAAACUGAGUGAUGAGCCUCAGAACCCUCCUCCACUUCCUCCACGAAAAAAGAUGGAUCAGGAUGCUUCCAAUGCUAAGGUAUUGCUGUCCUGGAUCGAAUAGCUGUGGUGAUGAACUGGGGAAUAUCUAGAAUAAUUUCUCUUGGAAAAGACCUUGAAGAUUGUCAAGCUCAACCAUUGAUCCAA
This is a non-coding RNA of Zonotrichia albicollis (white-throated sparrow), 278 nucleotides long. The record is from RefSeq and is a predicted model, not a curated record. NCBI's taxonomy places the organism in Eukaryota, Metazoa, Chordata, Aves, Passeriformes, Passerellidae.